RNAcentral lists this long non-coding RNA (329 nucleotides) under Homo sapiens (human). Its description in RNAcentral is "HSALNT0005427". Lineage: Eukaryota; Metazoa; Chordata; Mammalia; Primates; Hominidae. The record is from RNAcentral.
CCGUAAAGGGUCUUGGAACGACUGGGGGCCAGGAUUCUCUGAGGGCGGGAAUCCGGGCGGCCGUCAGCUCUCGGUGGUGAUCGAGGCCACGCUCCGCCUGUCUCUGGGCGUGCAUACCUCGGUUUCCCCGUUUGUGACGUGGGAAGGCAAUUAGUCUGGACAUUGUUGUGGGAGGACUUGCGGAGACUGGGCGCAGGGCGUGGGGGUCAGUGAGGGCGCGGUGGGUCAGCCCCAGCCCGGCUGGCAGUCGCGGGGCUGGGAAGAGACAGAAGGAACAUAGACCAUACACGCAUUCUAGAGGAAGAGGAGAGAGAAGAGGAAGCAGGAAG